Non-coding RNA from Paramuricea clavata, 1840 nucleotides. The record is from the annotation of a GenBank genome assembly. NCBI's taxonomy places the organism in Eukaryota, Metazoa, Cnidaria, Anthozoa, Malacalcyonacea, Plexauridae.
CGCCAUCUUGGUUUUAAAAGUUUCCCAAAAUUUGCGAAGACAAAUAACAGAAUUUUACUACAUUUUUGUCUAUGUUACGAGCCAAAACAUUGCCAAAUAUAAAGACAGAUGACAUGGUAAGUGUAAUGUCGUAUUUAAUAACUGUUAUUUGAAUUAUUAUUAUAUAAAAUGUGCACAUGUAUCUGACUCAGGAGUGAGCACUGAGCAUUCAAACCCGUCAUCUAUAAUAAUAUUAAUAUAAAAGUAAUAAAACUGAUUGAAAGUGACUGCUUUCGUUCUUUGAAUGAUGGCCUGCCUGUUCACAACUCAUUAAUAUAUGUAUGCAAAAUUGUAAAGCACUCUGUUUGAAUUUUCAAGGAAGAAUUUGUCAAUUUGAGUAUUUGUAAACAGUUUUUCGCCUCUGGUACUUUUGCAUAUUUCCACAUUAAAGACAUUUCACUGCAAGUGCACAUAGUCCAUGUAUCUGUAAUUUUAAACUUCAUACUGUUUUGUACACAUGCAGCUGUUGCAGUGUUUCAGGUAUACCAUGCUAGUCACUACAAGUUCCCUUUCUGAUAUAAAGAGUCGUGAUGUACUGGUACCGUAAACUUACGACUAUAAGCCGCCCCCCGAAUAUAAGCCCCCCCCCAUGUAUAAGCCCAUCACAUGUACUAAAGCUCACCUCAUCCCAAAUAUAAGCCCACCCUGAAUAUAAGCCCCCCCCCGAAUAUAAGUCCCCCAAAUUGAUAUAAGCCCAGUAAUUGCUGCUUAAUACAUUUUUAAUUUCCUGUUUAUGACUGACUUGUAUAUGUUUGGCUUGUUUAUUACUAACACUAACACAAAAGAUCAUCCAUGUAUAAGCCCCCCCCCCUUGUAUAAGCCCAUCAAAAAUCGCUUAUGAAAGUAUUUAAAUUAAGCCAGGUUUUAUAGUCGGAGGUUUACAGUAUAUGUAUACAGUAUAUUAAAGUAAUUGGAAACCAAAAUUUCAUGGGAUAUAGGUAACAAUUGCAAGUGGAAUUAAUAGUUGAAACAACCUACUUUCCCUCAUGCAUAUAACUUGAUGUGGUAUGAGGGUCGCUAAGCCCGGGCUGGUCUAACCUGAGAUUGGGCUGUAUUAUACGGAUAAUAACCUGACACAAAUAUUAAUCCAAUCACUUUCCACCCCCAACAAAGUUUAUAUUUAGUAUCCAAUCAAAAUGUCACAGGAGAAAUUAAAAUUUCGCACAACGACAACAACAAUCUGAUUAUAGUUGUGAUCACUAUAAAAUAUAUCAACAACAACAGUAUAAUCUAAUUAACACCAACCAAUCAAAUAACAGAUUGAAAAAUCUUUUGUCUCGUAGACCAACCAGAUUUACAACUGAAAUACGGCUGUAAGGCAUGGACUUUGUUUAGGUUUGUUUCAGGCCUAUUUAUUUAUUUAUAGGCCGGAUGGCAGGUUAGGGCCUGACCAACAACUGAGGUAGGAUGCAUCAUCACUAUGGAAUCCAGACAGGCAUGUCAAUUUUUGGAAAUCAAAGUUGUCUAUAAAGUCAUAAAGACCCAAUACUUUAUUUCACAAAGAACUGCCUCCCCCAAUACCCCCAAGUAAAUCCAUCCCACUGCUACACAAAAGAAUACUUCUUUCCCUCUAGUUAAUUAACAAUGAAAGUAUAUUUUUUACAGAUCUCUGCAAUAUUACUUUUACAACCUUGAAGAUAUGAUUAUGAUGACAAAUGUUGGUACAUUGCAGAGUAUUUUGUACAUCCUAUAAACUUUUUGUAAUAUCCACACAAUAGAUAAAUUUGUAUCAUAAUUAAAUUUGUAUCACAAUCUGUAAUUUAAUAAAUAUUCAUUUCAUCUUGUUUCGUUUCAUGUUUUC